UACGUAGGGGGCUAGCGUUGUCCGGAAUUAUUGGGCGUAAAGCGCGCGCAGGCGGUCUGUUAAGUCUGGUGUUUAAUCCCGGGGCUCAACCCCGGUACGCAUCUGGAAACUGGCAGACUUGAGUGCAGGAGAGGAAAGCGGAAUUCCACGUGUAGCGGUGAAAUGCGUAGAGAUGUGGAGGAACACCAGUGGCGAAGGCAGCCUUCUGGGCCAACACUGACGCUCAUGCACGAAAGCGUGGGGAGCAAACAGG
RNAcentral lists this ribosomal RNA (253 nucleotides) under uncultured bacterium. RNAcentral describes it as "partial 16S ribosomal RNA". It matches the Rfam family "Bacterial small subunit ribosomal RNA", at positions 524 to 776 of the family's 1533-position model. The record is from RNAcentral.